UGGGGAAUUUUGGACAAUGGGCGCAAGCCUGAUCCAGCAAUGCCGCGUGCAGGCUGAAGGCCUUCGGGUUGUAAACUGCUUUUGUACGGAGCGAAAAGGUCUGCCCUAAUACGGUGGGCUCAUGACGGUACCGUAAGAAUAAGCACCGGCUAACUACGUGCCAGCAGCCGCGGUAAUACGUAGGGUGCGAGCGUUAAUCGGAAUUACUGGGCGUAAAGCGAGCGCAGGCGGUUAUAUAAGACAGAGGGGAAAUCCCCGGGCUCAAACUGGGAACUGCAUUUGUGACUGUAUAGCUAGUAUACGGCAGAGGGGGAUGGAAUUCCGCGUGUAGCAGUGAAAUGCGUAGAUAUGCGGAGGAACACCGAUGGCGGAGGCAAUCCCCUGGGCCUGUACUGACGCUCAUGCACGAAAGCGUGGGGAGCAAACA
This 427-nucleotide ribosomal RNA is filed under the name uncultured bacterium. Its description in RNAcentral is "bacterial SSU rRNA". It matches the Rfam family "Bacterial small subunit ribosomal RNA", at positions 355 to 774 of the family's 1533-position model. The record is from RNAcentral.